RNAcentral lists this long non-coding RNA (596 nucleotides) under Vulpes vulpes (red fox). Its description in RNAcentral is "lncRNA (ENSVVUG00000021646.1)". Lineage: Eukaryota; Metazoa; Chordata; Mammalia; Carnivora; Canidae. The record is from RNAcentral.
GAGAAUUUGACAUACUAAUAAUUCAGAUGGUUCAGGGCCACAGAGAAUGAGAUUUGGCCAGGGAUUAAGCACCAGCUGAUAAAAUCAAGGUCCACAGAGAACAAUUUGGAAGCCCUUGAUUUAGAAAAGCUUGUGUUUUAUUCCCUUUUCAGAUUUCUUGAGGAUCUCUUCAACGUGGGAAAAUACAGAAAAAUCUUCACUAUGACACUGAUGGAACCACAGAGUCCAUGAUAUUGCACCAGAUGCAACCUAGUGCAAAGUCUGGGGGAUGGAGAGAGUGUGGUGAAUGGAGCUUAUUCCCUCAACAUUAAUGAAUCCAUAGUUUUAGACUGUCUCCAAAAUAGGAGCAUAUAUUCACAUCCAUCAAGACCACCUAAUCCCAUCUGAGCUGCCAGAAUGACAAACGCUGCAUGAAUGACCCCAGACUAGACCAACAGAAGACCAUUCACUUCAACCUACCUCAAAUUGCUUAUCCACGGAAUUAUGAGUAAACAAAAUGGUUGUUUUAAAUCACUGGGUUUGUGGUGGUUUGUUAUACAAAAAAUAGAUUAGUAAUAUAAUUUGUUAAACAGUAAUUAAUGAGUGUUUAAUAUGGG